Molecule: ribosomal RNA, 1163 nt
Filed under: Staphylococcus aureus
Lineage: Bacteria; Bacillati; Bacillota; Bacilli; Caryophanales; Staphylococcaceae
Description: bacterial SSU rRNA
Rfam family: Bacterial small subunit ribosomal RNA
Source: RNAcentral
GAGUAACACGUGGAUAACCUACCUAUAAGACUGGGAUAACUUCGGGAAACCGGAGCUAAUACCGGAUAAUAUUUUGAACCGCAUGGUUCAAAAGUGAAAGACGGUCUUGCUGUCACUUAUAGAUGGAUCCGCGCUGCAUUAGCUAGUUGGUAAGGUAACGGCUUACCAAGGCAACGAUGCAUAGCCGACCUGAGAGGGUGAUCGGCCACACUGGAACUGAGACACGGUCCAGACUCCUACGGGAGGCAGCAGUAGGGAAUCUUCCGCAAUGGGCGAAAGCCUGACGGAGCAACGCCGCGUGAGUGAUGAAGGUCUUCGGAUCGUAAAACUCUGUUAUUAGGGAAGAACAUAUGUGUAAGUAACUGUGCACAUCUUGACGGUACCUAAUCAGAAAGCCACGGCUAACUACGUGCCAGCAGCCGCGGUAAUACGUAGGUGGCAAGCGUUAUCCGGAAUUAUUGGGCGUAAAGCGCGCGUAGGCGGUUUUUUAAGUCUGAUGUGAAAGCCCACGGCUCAACCGUGGAGGGUCAUUGGAAACUGGAAAACUUGAGUGCAGAAGAGGAAAGUGGAAUUCCAUGUGUAGCGGUGAAAUGCGCAGAGAUAUGGAGGAACACCAGUGGCGAAGGCGACUUUCUGGUCUGUAACUGACGCUGAUGUGCGAAAGCGUGGGGAUCAAACAGGAUUAGAUACCCUGGUAGUCCACGCCGUAAACGAUGAGUGCUAAGUGUUAGGGGGUUUCCGCCCCUUAGUGCUGCAGCUAACGCAUUAAGCACUCCGCCUGGGGAGUACGACCGCAAGGUUGAAACUCAAAGGAAUUGACGGGGACCCGCACAAGCGGUGGAGCAUGUGGUUUAAUUCGAAGCAACGCGAAGAACCUUACCAAAUCUUGACAUCCUUUGACAACUCUAGAGAUAGAGCCUUCCCCUUCGGGGGACAAAGUGACAGGUGGUGCAUGGUUGUCGUCAGCUCGUGUCGUGAGAUGUUGGGUUAAGUCCCGCAACGAGCGCAACCCUUAAGCUUAGUUGCCAUCAUUAAGUUGGGCACUCUAAGUUGACUGCCGGUGACAAACCGGAGGAAGGUGGGGAUGACGUCAAAUCAUCAUGCCCCUUAUGAUUUGGGCUACACACGUGCUACAAUGGACAAUACAAAGGGCAGCGAAACCG